GCGUCGGCCGGGCACCGGAGAGCCCCGGUGGCCGUAACCCGCCCCGCCCCCGGGCGUUGGCGGUUCGAUUCCGUCCCGGCGCACC
RNAcentral lists this transfer RNA (85 nucleotides) under Tautonia plasticadhaerens. Its description in RNAcentral is "Planctomycetes bacterium ElP tRNA-Tyr". Lineage: Bacteria; Pseudomonadati; Planctomycetota; Planctomycetia; Isosphaerales; Isosphaeraceae. The record is from RNAcentral.